GAGUUUGAUCCUGGCUCAGGACGAACGCUGGCGACGUGCCUAAUACAUGCAAGUAGAACGCUGAAGAGAGGAGCUUGCUCUUCUUGGAUGAGUUGCGAACGGGUGAGUAACGCGUAGGUAACCUGCCUGGUAGCGGGGGAUAACUAUUGGAAACGAUAGCUAAUACCGCAUAAAAUGGAUUAUCGCAUGAUAAUCAAUUGAAAGGUGCAAUUGCAUCACUACCAGAUGGACCUGCGUUGUAUUAGCUAGUUGGUGGGGUAACGGCUCACCAAGGCGACGAUACAUAGCCGACCUGAGAGGGUGAUCGGCCACACUGGGACUGAGACACGGCCCAGACUCCUACGGGAGGCAGCAGUAGGGAAUCUUCGGCAAUGGACGGAAGUCUGACCGAGCAACGCCGCGUGAGUGAAGAAGGUUUUCGGAUCGUAAAGCUCUGUUGUAAGAGAAGAACGAGUGUGAGAGUGGAAAGUUCACACUGUGACGGUAUCUUACCAGAAAGGGACGGCUAACUACGUGCCAGCAGCCGCGGUAAUACGUAGGUCCCGAGCGUUGUCCGGAUUUAUUGGGCGUAAAGCGAGCGCAGGCGGUUAGAUAAGUCUGAAGUUAAAGGCUGUGGCUUAACCAUAGUACGCUUUGGAAACUGUUUAACUUGAGUGCAAGAGGGGAGAGUGGAAUUCCAUGUGUAGCGGUGAAAUGCGUAGAUAUAUGGAGGAACACCGGUGGCGAAAGCGGC
RNAcentral lists this ribosomal RNA (733 nucleotides) under uncultured bacterium. Its description in RNAcentral is "bacterial SSU rRNA". It matches the Rfam family "Bacterial small subunit ribosomal RNA", at positions 9 to 725 of the family's 1533-position model. The record is from RNAcentral.